AAAAUUUAGUUAAUAGUAAUAACAUUAACUUGUCAAGUUAAAAUAAUGUAAAUCAUAAUUUUUU
RNAcentral lists this transfer RNA (64 nucleotides) under Philopona vibex. RNAcentral's name for it is "tRNA-Asp". Lineage: Eukaryota; Metazoa; Arthropoda; Insecta; Coleoptera; Chrysomelidae. The record is from RNAcentral.